RNAcentral lists this long non-coding RNA (698 nucleotides) under Mytilus galloprovincialis (Mediterranean mussel). Lineage: Eukaryota; Metazoa; Mollusca; Bivalvia; Mytilida; Mytilidae. The record is from RNAcentral.
UUGUUUUUUUGGGAUUUUUCCCAAAUAUGUUUAAGAAAUCAAAAUGCAUUAUUUCUGCUUGUAGAUUUUAUUUCGGGAUUUUUCCCGAAAUGGGUAACAAAAAUCUAUGUAACAAGUGAGUGCCUGAUAUUAGAUUUAUAUUUUCGGGAUUUUUCCCGAAAUGUGAAAAGAAAUUAUUAGUCGUUAUGUCUAGUAUAUACACUUGAAUUUUCGGGACAAAUCCCGAAAUAUUUGAAGACAUCUGUGUGCAUAUUUUGUAGUAGGUUAAUUUUUGUCGGGAUGUUUCCCGAAAUGUGUUUUUCAGGAUUUUUUCCAAAUAUGUUUAAGAAAUCAAAAUGCAUUAUUUCUGCUUGUAGAUUUUAUUUCGGGAUUUUUCCCGAAAUGGGUAACAAAAAUCUAUGUAAAAAGUGUGUGCCUGAUAUUAGAUUUAUAUUUUCGGGAUUUUUCCCGAAAUGUGAAAAGAAAUUAUUAGUCGUUAGGUCUAGCAUAUACACUUGAUUUUUCGGGAUAAAUCCCGAAAUAUUUGAAGACAUCUGUGUACAUAUUUUGUAGUAAGUUAAUUUUUGUCGGGAUAUUUCCCGAAAUGUUUUUCAGAUAUUUUUGUUGAAACGCUCUGCCAACAUAUAUGUUAUAAAUAAUAAUGUUGAAAAUGAUUUCGGGAUAUUUCCCGAAAAAAUAGUUGUCACAUACAGCUUCAC